RNAcentral lists this ribosomal RNA (468 nucleotides) under uncultured bacterium. RNAcentral's name for it is "partial 16S ribosomal RNA". It matches the Rfam family "Bacterial small subunit ribosomal RNA", at positions 28 to 507 of the family's 1533-position model. The record is from RNAcentral.
GACGAACGCUGGCGGCGUGCUUAACACAUGCGAGUCGAACGGAAAGGCCCUGCUUUUGUGGGGUGCUCGAGUGGCGAACGGGUGAGUAACACGUGAGUAACCUGCCCUUGACUUUGGGAUAACUUCAGGAAACUGGGGCUAAUACCGGAUAGGAGCUCCUGCUGCAUGGUGGGGGUUGGAAAGUUUCGGCGGUUGGGGAUGGACUCGCGGCUUAUCAGCUUGUUGGUGGGGUAGUGGCUUACCAAGGCUUUGACGGGUAGCCGGCCUGAGAGGGUGACCGGCCACAUUGGGACUGAGGUACGGCCCAGACUCCUACGGGAGGCAGCAGUGGGGAAUAUUGCACAAUGGGCGGAAGCCGGAUGCAGCAACGCCGCGUGCGGGAUGACGGCCUUCGGGUUGUAAACCGCUUUCGCCUGUGACGAAGCGUGAGUGACGGUAAUGGGUAAAGAAGCACCGGCUAACUACGUG